UCAUAUGCUUGUCUCAAAGAUUAAGCCAUGCAUGUCUAAGUACAAGCCAAAUUAAGGUGAAACCGCGAAAGGCUCAUUAAAUCAGUUAUGGUUCCUUAGAUCGUACCACACAUUUACUUGGAUAACUGUGGUAAUUCUAGAGCUAAUACAUGCAAACAGAGCUCUGACCAGAGAUGGAAGGAGUGCUUUUAUUAGAUCAAAACCAAACGGCAGCAGUCUAUACUCUUUAUGGGUUGGAUUGUGUUUGUCGAUUUUAUGAUUGGUGACUCUGAAUAACUUUAUGCUGAUCGCAUGGUCUUGUACCGGCGACGCAUCUUUCAAAUGUCUGCCUUAUCAACUGUCGAUGGUAAGAUCUGCGCUUACCAUGGUUGUAACGGGUAACGGGGAAUCAGGGUUCGAUUCCGGAGAGGGAGCCUGAGAAACGGCUACCACAUCCAAGGAAGGCAGCAGGCGCGCAAAUUACCCACUCCCGGCACGGGGAGGUAGUGACGAAAAAUAACGAUACGGGACUCAUCCGAGGCCCCGUAAUCGGAAUGAGUACACUUUAAAUCCUUUAACAAGGACCAAUUGGAGGGCAAGUCUGGUGCCAGCAGCCGCGGUAAUUCCAGCUCCAAUAGCGUAUAUUAAAGUUGUUGCGGUUAAAAAGCUCGUAGUUGAAUCUGUGUCCCGUGCUGUCGGUUCACUGCUCGUCAGUGAUCACUGGCAUGUUCACGGGACGUCCUGCCGGUGGAUGUGUGUGUUUGAUACAAGAGUCUCUAUUAUGUCUAGCUAUAUUACACACUUAUGCAUGUGCUCUUUUUCAUUUAUAUGCGCGUACAUUCUUUACGGGGUGUGUGUGUGUAUUUUAUGUUUAAAGGCAGUGCGUAUAGUUCAGUGUAUAUGGGCGGUAGUAGGUAAGGCGUGUAUUCAAUCACCGUCCUAGUAAUAUAUCCUGUCGCAGUGCUCUUAAUUGAGUGUUGAGGCGGGCCGGCACGUUUACUUUGAACAAAUUAGAGUGCUCAAAGCAGGCUCAUUUAUGCCUGAAUAUUGUGUGCAUGGAAUAAUGGAACAGGACCUCGGUUCUAUUUUGUUGGUUUUCGGAAUAAUCCGAGGUAAUGAUUAAUAGGGACAGAUGGGGGCAUUCGUAUUGCAACGUUAGAGGUGAAAUUCUUGGAUCGUUGCAAGACGGACUAAAGCGAAAGCAUUUGCCAAAGAUGUUUUCAUUAAUCAAGAACGAAAGUCAGAGGUUCGAAGGCGAUCAGAUACCGCCCUAGUUCUGACCAUAAACGAUGCCAGCUAGCGAUCCGCCGACGUUCCUCCGAUGACUCGGCGGGCAGCUUCCGGGAAACCAAAGCUUUUGGGUUCCGGGGGAAGUAUGGUUGCAAAGCUGAAACUUAAAGGAAUUGACGGAAGGGCACCACCAGGAGUGGAGCCUGCGGCUUAAUUUGACUCAACACGGGAAACCUCACCAGGCCCAGACACUGGAAGGAUUGACAGAUUGAGAGCUCUUUCUUGAUUCAGUGGGUGGUGGUGCAUGGCCGUUCUUAGUUGGUGGAGCGAUUUGUCUGGUUAAUUCCGAUAACGAACGAGACUCUAGCCUGCUAAAUAGGCGUAACCAAAUACCGGUAUCUUGAAGGCUCCGACACUUAUUUCGUGAUGUUCAUUCCCUGUAUGACAUUAUUUUAUACUUUGUGUUGAGAUCGUUACUAUUUGUUUUUACUCUUCGAGUUUGAACAGAUGUGUGCGGUUUUUCGCAUUGUGUAGGUGUGUUGUGUAUGGGGGUGGCUCUGGAAUGAUGUUGUUGGGUUUUUACUACCGGCGUAUAUAUACAAUCUUCUUAGAGGGACAGGCGGCUUCUAGCCGCACGAGAUUGAGCAAUAACAGGUCUGUGAUGCCCUUAGAUGUUCUGGGCCGCACGCGCGCUACACUGAAGGAAUCAGCGUGUCUUCCCUGGCCGAAAGGUCCGGGUAACCCGCUGAACCUCCUUCGUGCUAGGGAUUGGGGCUUGCAAUUAUUCCCCAUGAACGAGGAAUUCCCAGUAAGCGCGAGUCAUAAGCUCGCGUUGAUUACGUCCCUGCCCUUUGUACACACCGCCCGUCGCUACUACCGAUUGAAUGAUUUAGUGAGGUCUUCAGACUGGUACUCGGUGAUGUUUCGUACAUUACCGAUGUCGCUAGGAAGAUGACCAAACUUGAUUAUUUAGAGAAGUAA
Molecule: ribosomal RNA, 2190 nt
Filed under: Raphetis sp.
Lineage: Eukaryota; Metazoa; Arthropoda; Insecta; Coleoptera; Carabidae
Description: SSU rRNA
Rfam family: Eukaryotic small subunit ribosomal RNA
Source: RNAcentral